This is a long non-coding RNA of Pipra filicauda (Wire-tailed manakin), 1419 nucleotides long. RefSeq lists it as uncharacterized. The transcript is spliced from 4 exons. NCBI's taxonomy places the organism in Eukaryota, Metazoa, Chordata, Aves, Passeriformes, Pipridae. The record is from RefSeq and is a predicted model, not a curated record.
GUGAAGGGACUCUGGUGCUCACAGCGGUCCCGUGGCCCAUGGGCUCUCCCUGCCGGGCCGGGCAGGUCAGGCCACCCUGGGCUGGAGAUGGGGAAGGAGCCUCAGGGGUCCCCUCCAGCCAUGCCCCCAGCGCUGCCUUCCAGGCUCUAUGUUUGCUCCCUACUUCAGAAAAGACACCAGAAAGCUGCUUAGAAACGGCCUUGGGACUGUGGGACAGGAGCUCACGGGUUAAUGAGUGUGGGAGUUAAUGUGUGGCACAGGGCUGAGAUGAGUACCUGUAUUCAGUGUUUGCUUCUGCGUAUCCCAUCCCCUGGGUACAUUCUACACCUAUAAACCUCAAUCAGGCACCAAUGUACUUCCAUAAAAGAGGACUUAAACCUUUCCCUUCAGCCUGUCCCAGGGAGCCAUGAACACCACAGCCUGGGCUGUGAGCAGAAGGCAAAGGGGAUCUGGAAGGAAGUUCGUACCAUGAGGAGCUGAGUGGAGCAGCCGCUCCCAUCAGCUCAGCGGGAAGCAGGAGUGAGCAGCAAUGGAAGGCAACAUGAAGUAACCUCUGGGGUGUGACCCCCUGACUGAGCUCACCAUAGAGCUUCAGGGCUUGGAAGAGGUGUCUCCAGACCAGGUGUCCUGCACAGACCUUAUCCUGCUGGUUGCCCCUUCCCAACUGCUCCCAGUUGUUUUCCUAACAUUCACUAAGCACACAGAAAAGUCCCAGGAAAGACACAAGUCUGCCAAAUGACUCUGGGAAGCUUAGCUCGUGUUCAAGUUGGUUUCUGCAGCCUGUUUCUUGGAUUUUUUUUAGCCAACUGAACACUGUCAGGAGCAACAGGACAGGCUGGAGGGGUUCUCCCGUUCCUCCCCACCACAUGCAUUGGGACACUGUGCUCCACAGUCACUCUUUUCUUUCCUUUGGCAUUGCAGGUGGCAACAGGGCUAUGCUGAACUGCCUCACUUCACUGCCACGCCCCUGCACAACCUCUUCAGUUCCAGUAAUUCCCACAUCCCAUGCAGGCAUUGAAAACCAGCCUGGAUUUUGGCUGCAAAGGGGUCGGGUUCCUGGAGAGCCUCUGGAGAGCAGGAUGGAGCAGAUCCCAAGGUCAAACUUUAGUGCCUUGAAUCUUCAGGCUCUCAAAUCCAUGGCAUAUCUGACAGGUACCAAAGCCAGGUUUAAGAGUCCAGUGUUUCCUGGAUCCUUUGGAGCCCUUCCUAGAAAUUAGCCUGGCCUUUGCCACCUCUCCUCCGGUUUGGGAAGGUCAGGGACCUGCUGCCUGUGUCCUGCUGCAGGGUCUGCCCUGAGCACGUGCCAGCCCAGUAGUUUUUCAGCAGAAUUCCCACUUCUGAUGUGUUUGCAAAAUACACUGCUGUUAAUUCUUAUGUGGUAAGCGAAUUACACUCAAAAUAUAUUUUCAUCUCAGUUAA